RNAcentral lists this transfer RNA (67 nucleotides) under Lithophaga curta. RNAcentral describes it as "tRNA-Leu". Lineage: Eukaryota; Metazoa; Mollusca; Bivalvia; Mytilida; Mytilidae. The record is from RNAcentral.
AGCGGGUUGGCAGAUUUUUAUGUGUUUGGUUUAGGGCCAAAGUAUGGGAUAGUUUUUCCACCUGUUU